RNAcentral lists this ribosomal RNA (465 nucleotides) under uncultured bacterium. RNAcentral's name for it is "partial 16S ribosomal RNA". It matches the Rfam family "Bacterial small subunit ribosomal RNA", at positions 338 to 795 of the family's 1533-position model. The record is from RNAcentral.
CCUACGGGAGGCAGCAGUGGGGAAUAUUGCGCAAUGGGCGAAAGCCUGACGCAGCGACGCCGCGUGAGGGAUGAAGGUCUUCGGAUCGUAAACCUCUGUCAGCAGGGAAGAACGGUCACUGUGCUAAUCAGCAGUGAAUUGACGGUACCUGCAAAGGAAGCACCGGCUAACUCCGUGCCAGCAGCCGCGGUAAUACGGAGGGUGCGGGCGUUAAUCGGAAUUACUGGGAGUAAAGCGCUCGUAGGCGGUAUGUCAAGUCAAGGGUGAAAUCCCCGCGCUCAACGUGGGAACUGCCGUUGAAACUGGCAAACUGGAGUGUGUGAGAGGAUGGUGGAAUUCCUGGUGUAGGAGUGAAAUGCGUAGAUAUCUGGAGGAACAUCAGUGGCGAAGGCGACUAUCUGGCACAUAACUGACGCUGAGGAGCGAAAGCGUGGGUAGCAAACAGGAUUAGAUACCCGUGUAGUC